Molecule: small RNA, 431 nt
Filed under: Vigna angularis var. angularis
Lineage: Eukaryota; Viridiplantae; Streptophyta; Magnoliopsida; Fabales; Fabaceae
Description: Non-protein coding transcript
Source: RNAcentral
AAGUUGAGUCUUCAGUGCAAACAACAACAUUGUGAGAUGAAUUAUACUUCACCAAUGAUUUGGAGAAUAGGUAGAGUGAGUAAUGGCGGUGGUAGCAAGACGGUGGUGUAGGAUGGACACAAGCAAACAGUUGGAUAGGAAUUAAGGAUGACGAAAAGAAAUGUACAACCCUUUCAAGAAGAGACCCUGUACAAAAGGAAAAGGAAAGAAAAUGCUAUUUGAUUAGAAAGACAGUUAAGAAUGAUUAGCGGUUACUCAAAGUAACUUCCAGUCAAACAUUUCAAUUCAAGAAAACCGGGAUUUAGCUUUCAUUACGGUGAUAUUCCAGAUAUCAUGCUGCAAAGUUGCUAGUAACAUGCCACCUUGUAAAAAUAUUGGAACUAAUAUUUUAUUCCCUUGUAGGAGCAGCAUUCACCAAUACAAUAGUGAAA